This 76-nucleotide transfer RNA is filed under the name Chloroflexota bacterium. RNAcentral describes it as "Chloroflexi bacterium tRNA-Ala". It matches the Rfam family "tRNA". From Rfam's summary of the family: Transfer RNA (tRNA) molecules are approximately 80 nucleotides in length. RNAcentral also lists the same sequence under 1 other name. The record is from RNAcentral. Lineage: Bacteria; Bacillati; Chloroflexota.
GGGGCUGUAGCUCAGCCGGGAGAGCGCUACACUCGCAUUGUAGAGGCCAGGGGUUCGAAUCCCCUCAGCUCCACCA